Molecule: long non-coding RNA, 1811 nt
Organism: Mesocricetus auratus (golden hamster)
Lineage: Eukaryota; Metazoa; Chordata; Mammalia; Rodentia; Cricetidae
Exons: 2
Source: RefSeq, a predicted model, not a curated record
AGUGAUAGCCUCCUAGUUACAAGACCAGGAUGAAGACCCAGUGAAGAGGUCCAGGUGUCACUAACAGCUCUUCACUGGGCAUCUGCUCAGGACCCACAAGGAGAUACAAAGGCUUGGGAGCUGUUCCAGCUGCUCCUGUGUACUCCUUCUCAGGGGGUCAUCGGUCUCCAUGAUCCACACAGAGAGAGCCAUGCUGUGAUUCCAUUGUCUCCCUGGAUCUCAGACAUCAGAGUCCUAACUUUCAAGGUCACAUGUUGAAUGAAUUUGGAGGGUAUUCAAUAAGGAACGAGGCUAAAAGAAAGGGAAGCACGCAGUCCUGAGCAGCGCUCCAAAGCUACGCUUUUACGAUUCAGUGGAGACUCACUCAUUUGUGGAUCUGCUCAGAAGUCUCAUUGUCUGCUAUGGGGCCGGCACACUUCCCCGGUGCAAUCAGCAUAGCAGAGAACAGCAAUUGGAGAAGGUGCCAGCCCAGACCUGGAUACCCUGAGGGCUCAGUCCACGGAAGACCCCACAGUGUCCUUCAAGGUGCCCCCCAGGGACAGACGAAUCACCAGGAAGCACCCACAGAGCAACAAGAUCAGAACUCAGGAUGGCACGGGGGAGACUUUGUACAGCUUGGGGCGCUGUUCCAGAAGAAUGGGAACUUUUCUCGCCCUGACCUUGCCCAAGACUGCAGUGAGCCUGGGCCCAGUCCUGGAGGGUCUGAGCAGGGUGUCCUGGCAGGUCCCAGUGAACUCCUGGUAGGAAUGGGAAUCCAAAGGCACACAGAAGUGCCCCGGGAUGUACAGAUAGGUGCAUGCCUCCCUCAACAAUGGGAAAUCUUGGUGGAGUGAUCCCCUGGCAUUUUCUAAGUCCUCAACCAUGCAUGCACCCCAAACAUAUCCCCUCCAGGAGCUCCUGUAAUCUGGCCCCAAGAGACAAAUGCAAGUGUGUGCACAACAGACUAUUUCCAAAACAUAAGCAUGAAUAGCCCAGAUGUCUACAGAGUACAAUGUGUAAGAUAGCCAGACUGUUCCUCCAAUAGAGCACAGUGCAGCAGGGAAACAAGGUCAAGGCUGGUAGCAUACACAGACAGACGGGGUGAUGGUGGAGGGAGGUACAGUCAUCAGCAUCCUAAGUUCAUUCUUCCCUCUUCCCUCUUCCUCCUUUCCCUGUGGGAUUUUAGAAUCAAAGCAAAAGACUGUUCCGUAAUAUCUUAUAUUUUUUCAAAGUGAAAGUCACCCACACUGGAGAGAGGACUGAGGGAAUGCUGUGGGCCAUAGCAAAGGCAGCUACAGCUCCACAUAGCUAGUGGGAGCAGAGGGAGGCACAGGCCGGAUGUUUCUUUAUUUGCAGAGUGGACAGAGCAACAGCUUGAAAGAAAUCAGAGCUAGUCACGGCAAUACACAAUCAGAUUCCCUGUCUGAGUUCUACGGAUUUUUUUAAAUUGGAAAACAGCCACCCUGAACUGUCUGUCUUCCCUCCGUAGCACCUGGAGCUGGCUGUAGCCCUGUGCUCUGCCUGUGGCUCUGGGCCCUCUGCUUGGCCACAGCUCGAACCCCUCUUUACUGUGUCCCCUGCACUGCAGCCUGUUCACCUUGUGGUUUUGCACACACUGGAGCCGUUCCCUCGCCUGUAUGACCUGCCCUGUCCUGGGAGCAUACAGUCUGAUUCUGCCUCUAGAGAGUUAGGACACAUGCAUGGGCAGGUCCUUCCUUCCGUGUUACCUAGAGCUGAGUAACCAUGCUCCAUUACACUCAGAAUCCUCUCAGCAGAUAUUUUCUCUCUAAAAUUUCCCUGCAUGCAUUUAGAAACAGAAAUCUGUGCCUGCA